UCAGACAUGGUGUAGCGGUAACAUGGCCUCUUUAUAUACACAGUAUUUUCGUCUGCUGAGGCAGUCCUGGGUUCGAACCCCGGUGUCUGAA
Non-coding RNA from Mycena epipterygia, 91 nucleotides. NCBI's taxonomy places the organism in Eukaryota, Fungi, Basidiomycota, Agaricomycetes, Agaricales, Mycenaceae. The record is from the annotation of a GenBank genome assembly.